This 394-nucleotide ribosomal RNA is filed under the name uncultured Pseudomonas sp. RNAcentral describes it as "bacterial SSU rRNA". It matches the Rfam family "Bacterial small subunit ribosomal RNA", at positions 989 to 1382 of the family's 1533-position model. Lineage: Bacteria; Pseudomonadati; Pseudomonadota; Gammaproteobacteria; Pseudomonadales; Pseudomonadaceae. The record is from RNAcentral.
GAAUGACGUGUAGGUGAAAGCUUACAUCUCUUCGGAGCAUUUUACGAGGUGCUGCAUGGUUGUCGUCAGCUCGUGCCGUGAGGUGUUCGGGUUAAGUCCCGUAACGAGCGCAACCCUUGUCCUUAGUUACCAGCACGUUAUGGUGGGCACUCUAAGGAGACUGCCGGUGACAAACCGGAGGAAGGUGGGGAUGACGUCAAGUCAUCAUGGCCCUUACGGCCUGGGCUACACACGUGCUACAAUGGUCGGUACAAAGGGUUGCCAAGCCGCGAGGUGGAGCUAAUCCCAUAAAACCGAUCGUAGUCCGGAUCGCAGUCUGCAACUCGACUGCGUGAAGUUGGAAUCGCUAGUAAUCGUGAAUCAGAAUGUCACGGUGAAUACGUUCCCGGGCCUU